This 446-nucleotide unclassified non-coding RNA is filed under the name Hevea brasiliensis (rubber tree). The record is from RNAcentral. Lineage: Eukaryota; Viridiplantae; Streptophyta; Magnoliopsida; Malpighiales; Euphorbiaceae.
GCUUUUGCUAGGAAUAUGAUGCUUAGGUAUGUGAUUCUCAAUCAUGAGUCAUUAUUGUGUUUGACUAACCAUAAAAGAUUACCAAGAAUUCAUGAUUAUUAUGCUAAUGCAUCCUUUGAAUCAAGCAGAUAUUAUUGAGAGUUGGGUUAUUAUUAAUCCUUCAAAACAACACUUCUUGAUUGCUAAUUGCUUAUCAAUUUUUUGUUUUUUUUAUUCCCUUUUUUAAUGGAAUUUUCUUUAUAGGCAAAAUAUGUUUUACCAAUAAAAUGAAAUAUAGUACAAUCAUUGACUAAUAAGAGAGAAGGAGAUGGAAGAGAAUGAAUGCUGCAGGUUGAGAUUAUGCAUACAUUGAAAGUUUCAUAUUCUCCUAGCAAUUAAAACAUCUUUGACGCGAUGCCUGUAGCAUGUUUCUAAAAGAAGUAUCAUGAAACAAGAGUGGUAUCUUU